This 407-nucleotide ribosomal RNA is filed under the name uncultured bacterium. RNAcentral's name for it is "partial 16S ribosomal RNA". It matches the Rfam family "Bacterial small subunit ribosomal RNA", at positions 30 to 526 of the family's 1533-position model. The record is from RNAcentral.
AUUGAACGCUGGCGGCAGGCCUAACACAUGCAAGUCGAACGGAGUGGCGGACGGGUGAGUAAUGUAUGGGAAACUGCCCGAUGGAGGGGGAUAACUACUGGAAACGGUAGCUAAUACCGCAUACUAUCAGAUGAGCCUAGGUCAGAUUAGCUAGUUGGUGGGGUAAAGGCCCACCAAGGCGACGAUCCGUAACUGGUCUGAGAGGAUGAUCAGUCACACUGGGACUGAGACACGGUCCAGACUCCUACGGGAGGCAGCAGUGGGGAAUAUUGGACAAUGGGCGAAAGCCUGAUCCAGCCAUCCCGCGUGUGUGAAGAAGGUCUUCGGAUUGUAAAGCACUUUUAGUUGGGAGGCGUUACCUACAGAAUAAGCACCGGCUAACUUCGUGCCAGCAGCCGCGGUAAUUC